AUGGGAACAACAAAACCAAGGAUACAGGAUCUCAUGCCUCUUGUGGACAGGGUUGAAAGAAGGCUGACUGCUAGUUCCUCCAUGCUGAAUCAGGGUUCUAGGCUGCAACUUUUAACCUCUGUUUUAUCUUCUAUGCCAAUUUAUUUCCUGUGCUCAUUAGAUAUCCCUAUUGGUAUUAUCAAGCAGCUUGAAAGUAUUGAGAGGCAAUGCCUUUGGCAUGGUAAUUCUGAUACACCAAGACAAUCCCUAGCAGCUUGGGAUUUGGUAUGUAGGCCAAAAGCGAAUGAAGGACUGGGAGUGAUUAAUCUGCAAAUACAGAACCAAGCCCUUCUGGUAAAGCAUUUGCACAAGUUUUAUAACAAGGCUGACAUACCAUGGGUAUCUCUUAUUUGGGAUUCAUACUAUCAUGGAGUAGUUCCACAGGCCACUGUCUUAUGUGGCGCCUUUUGGUGGAAGCAUGUUUUUAAACUGGCUGAUAAUUACACAGCGGUGGCUACUGUUAUAGUCAAUUCUAGGGAUUCAGUACUGCUUUGGUCUGAUGGCUGGCAUCUUGAUGGAUCAACGAGGCCUCUCCGAGAUAGAUUACCACACCUGUGA
This 597-nucleotide ribosomal RNA is filed under the name Triticum aestivum (bread wheat). RNAcentral's name for it is "partial small subunit ribosomal RNA". The record is from RNAcentral. Lineage: Eukaryota; Viridiplantae; Streptophyta; Magnoliopsida; Poales; Poaceae.